CCCUUAGAUGUCCUGGGCCGCACGCGCGUUACACUGAUGCAUUCAACGAGCUUAUAACCUUGGCCGAGAGGCCUGGGCAAUCUUGUUAACGUGCAUCGUGAUAGGGAUAGAUUAUUGAAAUUAUUAAUCUUGAACGAGGAAUUCCUAGUAAACGCAGAUCAUCAAUCUGCAUUGAUUACGUCCCUGCCCUUUGUACACACCGCCCGUCGCUACUACCGAUUGAAUGGCUUAGUGAGCCUUUGGGAUUGGCAGCUUGUACCGGCAACGGUAGCAGGCAGCCGAAAACUUAGGCAAACUUGGUCAUUUAGAGGAAGUAAAAGUCGUAACA
Molecule: ribosomal RNA, 328 nt
Filed under: uncultured eukaryote
Lineage: Eukaryota
Description: partial 18S ribosomal RNA
Rfam family: Eukaryotic small subunit ribosomal RNA
Source: RNAcentral